Treponema denticola ATCC 35405 is the source of this 74-nucleotide transfer RNA. It matches the Rfam family "tRNA". Rfam says of the family: Transfer RNA (tRNA) molecules are approximately 80 nucleotides in length. NCBI's taxonomy places the organism in Bacteria, Pseudomonadati, Spirochaetota, Spirochaetia, Treponematales, Treponemataceae. The record is from Rfam.
GGGCGCUUAGCUCAGCUGGUACGAGCGUCUGGUUUACACCCAGAAUGUCGGCGGUUCGAUCCCGUCAGCGCCCA